ACAAGGGGGGCGGAGCGCUAAGAAAGAGAAAGCGUUAUCACUAUACGAAAUGAAGCAGCGGCUAGCACGCUAAGCUAAGAUCAACCAAUGUUCGAACGCGGAGCCUUUCUUUCUCGGUCGUCUGUCUUAAUAAGUGGAUUCCGAUUCAUGCAGUCGUUCUCUGCUGCAUUGGUCUUUUCACUCCCCACCCUCCACCAUAACAAAAUGUUUCCACUAUAUCUCAGGAGUUGUUUUUGUUUUGUUUGUGGACAAACGAUAUCCGGUCAGGCCUAUGGCUGGAUCCUUUUAGAUCUACGGGCCGGCCGGCCCCGGCCGUUUACAUGAGCAUAGGGAAUCUAUACUCGAGCGUUCCACUGGGCCCCUGACAGGAUAGGUGAGGAAUCACUCUGGAUCUUCUUUUUUUGGGCUACAACUUCGCCGAGCCGACUAGCAUCCCUUUCCACUGUGCAUUUUUCGAACAAAGAAGA
RNAcentral lists this long non-coding RNA (467 nucleotides) under Nicotiana benthamiana. Its description in RNAcentral is "long non-coding RNA (NBEN_LNC018073)". The record is from RNAcentral. Lineage: Eukaryota; Viridiplantae; Streptophyta; Magnoliopsida; Solanales; Solanaceae.